RNAcentral lists this ribosomal RNA (642 nucleotides) under Triticum aestivum (bread wheat). RNAcentral describes it as "partial small subunit ribosomal RNA". Lineage: Eukaryota; Viridiplantae; Streptophyta; Magnoliopsida; Poales; Poaceae. The record is from RNAcentral.
AUGGACUACUUGGGGAUGACAACAAUUCCAAAGAAACACAUAGUCAAGAGAUGGACGAAGGAUGCAAGGGACAUUUUGCCUGAGCACCUGCAGCACUACCAGAAAGAUCAGAUAACGACUAGCACGCUCACAUUCAGGCACAACCGAAUGUAUGUGCAAGCGCUAGAGCUGGUCAGGUUGGGAGAUGCCAGUGUCGAGGCGUACGAUACUUUGAUGGGCUUGUUCAAGCAAGCCAUGACUGUUAUGGCACCGUACGACAUGCAGAGGGACAGGCUGGGCCUGGAAGACCGUGGCCAUAACAGGAAGCAAGCGAAUGGAGUCGUUGGCAAACGGGAUAAUGUGGAAAAAACCAAGAAUCAAGAUGAGGGGAGCGCCUUGGCGGGCCUUGAACCUCCAGCUAAGAAGAGGAAUGCAGGUCGCCCCACCAAUGCUAGAGACAGGCCACCAUACGAAGGGCUUAGCAAGAGGAGCAGAUUUUGCAGUAUUUGCAAGGUACCAGGACACAAGAAGACUACAUGCCCGCAACGAGAAGACGCGCCGAAGGUGCCCAGGAAAGAAGGUAGAUGCAGCAAUUGUGGUGUGGCGGGACAUAGGAAAAACACGUGCGACAGAGUUGGGGGCGACCAAGCUGAUCAGCAGUAG